UACGAAGGGGGCUAGCGUUGCUCGGAAUUACUGGGCGUAAAGCGCACGUAGGCGGCUUUCUAAGUCGGGGGUGAAAUCCUGGAGCUCAACUCCAGAACUGCCUUCGAUACUGGAAAGCUCGAGUCCGGGAGAGGUGAGUGGAACUGCGAGUGUAGAGGUGAAAUUCGUAGAUAUUCGUAAGAACACCAGUGGCGAAGGCGGCUCACUGGCCCGGUACUGACGCUGAGGUGCGAAAGCGUGGGGAGCAAACAGG
RNAcentral lists this ribosomal RNA (253 nucleotides) under uncultured bacterium. Its description in RNAcentral is "partial 16S ribosomal RNA". It matches the Rfam family "Bacterial small subunit ribosomal RNA", at positions 524 to 776 of the family's 1533-position model. The record is from RNAcentral.